GAUGAACGCUGGCGGCGUGCCUAAUACAUGCAAGUCGAGCGAACGGACGAGAAGCUUGCUUAUCUGAUGUUAGCGGCGGACGGGUGAGUAACACGUGGAUAACCUACCUAUAAGACUGGGAUAACUUCGGGAAACCGGAGCUAAUACCGGAUAAUAUUUUGAACCGCAUGGUUCAAAAGUGAAAGACGGUCUUGCUGUCACUUAUAGAUGGAUCCGCGCUGCAUUAGCUAGUUGGUAAGGUAACGGCUUACCAAGGCAACGAUGCAUAGCCGACCUGAGAGGGGGAUCGGCCACCUGGGAACUGAGACAGGGGCCAGACCCCUAGGGGAGGGAGCAGGAGGGAAUCUUCCGCAAUGGGCGAAAGCCGGACGGAGAAACGCCGGGUGGGUGAUGAGGGUUUGCGGAUCGUAAAACUCUUUUAUUAGGGAAAAAAAUAUGUGAAAGUAACUGGGCACAUCUUGACGGUACCUAAUCAGAAAGCCCCGGCUAACUACGU
This 496-nucleotide ribosomal RNA is filed under the name uncultured bacterium. Its description in RNAcentral is "partial 16S ribosomal RNA". It matches the Rfam family "Bacterial small subunit ribosomal RNA", at positions 28 to 506 of the family's 1533-position model. The record is from RNAcentral.